GUACAGUUUGAUCGCACACUUUGUCGAGGUCGAAGUUACUUCUGAUUUUCAGCUGGAAAUAUUAGCUCGGACAUCAACAGCCAUGAUGAUCAAGAAAGGUUACCAACGACUAUUUUUUGCGUCGUUUUGUUGGUCAUCAUCGGGACGUCAGUGGCCAGUUCAUUCCAUCCAAACUGCGACCGAGCCUGUACCUUCGAAUUGGAUCCCAUCUGCGGCAGCGACGGAAGGAACUACUCUAAUCGCUGCCACUUCGAAAUCGGGAAAUGUCGUAAUCCUCGCUUGAGGAUACAAUGCAAAGGAAGGUGUGAGGAAUGUUUGUACGGAUGAAGUCGUUAGCCCUACGCCCUUCUUCAUCCUCUUCGUGACCUACAGCAGUAGCCUCUCUAUCAG
Long non-coding RNA from Macrobrachium nipponense, 390 nucleotides. RefSeq lists it as uncharacterized. The record is from RefSeq and is a predicted model, not a curated record. Lineage: Eukaryota; Metazoa; Arthropoda; Malacostraca; Decapoda; Palaemonidae. The transcript is spliced from 4 exons.